GGACGAACGCUGGCGGCGUGCUUAACACAUGCAAGUCGAACGAUGAUGCUCCAGCUUGCUGGGGUGGAUUAGUGGCGAACGGGUGAGUAACACGUGAGUAACCUGCCCUUCACUUUGGGAUAAGCCUUGGAAACGGGGUCUAAUACCGGGUAUACACAUACUGUCGCAUGGUGGUGUGUGGAAAGCUUUUGUGGUGAGGGAUGGACUCGCGGCCUAUCAGCUUGAUGGUGGGGUAGUGGCCUACCAUGGCUUUGACGGGUAGCCGGCCUGAGAGGGUGACCGGCCACACUGGGACUGAGACACGGCCCAGACUCCUACGGGAGGCAGCAGUGGGGAAUAUUGCACAAUGGGCGGAAGCCUGAUGCAGCGACGCCGCGUGGGGGAUGAAGGCUUUCGGGUCGUAAACUCCUUUCAGCAGGGACGAAGCUUUUGUGACGGUACCUGCAGAAGAAGCACCGGCUAACUACGUGCCAGCAGCCGCGGUAAUACGUAGGGUGCGAGCGUUGUCCGGAAUUAUUGGGCGUAAAGAGCUUGUAGGCGGUUUGUCGCGUCUGCCGUGAAAGCCCAGGGCUUAACCCUGGGUCUGCGGUGGGUACGGGCAGACUAGAGUGUGGUAGGGGAGACUGGAAUUCCUGGUGUAGCGGUGAAAUGCGCAGAUAUCAGGAGGAACACCGAUGGCGAAGGCAGGUCUCUGGGCCACUACUGACGCUGAGAAGCGAAAGCAUGGGGAGCAAACAGGAUUAGAUACCCUGGUAGUCCAUGCCGU
RNAcentral lists this ribosomal RNA (766 nucleotides) under Dermacoccus sp. RNAcentral describes it as "bacterial SSU rRNA". It matches the Rfam family "Bacterial small subunit ribosomal RNA", at positions 27 to 803 of the family's 1533-position model. Lineage: Bacteria; Bacillati; Actinomycetota; Actinomycetes; Micrococcales; Dermacoccaceae. The record is from RNAcentral.